This 209-nucleotide long non-coding RNA is filed under the name Arabidopsis lyrata. Its description in RNAcentral is "long non-coding RNA (ALYR_LNC001856)". Lineage: Eukaryota; Viridiplantae; Streptophyta; Magnoliopsida; Brassicales; Brassicaceae. The record is from RNAcentral.
CAAAGAAUCCAUGAAAAAAUGCUUAUCCAAAGCAUAGGAGGAUUUCUUUGUUCAAAAAAAAUUUAUAAAAAAAAAAAAACAUAGGCCACAAAUCAAUCUGAGGAGUCUUUGUUGCAAAAGAGGUUCAUGUAAAUCCUCCUCCUAGGCGAUUUUAUCUAUCUAAACGUCGUCCACGUGUGAUAGUUGAAUUGGUAAGCAUAAAAUCAUCC